AUGGCAGUAGCUCAGUGGUUAAGACCUUGGACCUCUGAUCGGAAGGUGAGUUCAAAUCCCAGCACUGCCAAG
Pangasius djambal is the source of this 72-nucleotide non-coding RNA. The record is from the annotation of a GenBank genome assembly. Lineage: Eukaryota; Metazoa; Chordata; Actinopteri; Siluriformes; Pangasiidae.